CCCAGGCACCGGGCUUGGCCAGAGCUUUUGGGGUUCCCCGGCAGCAGCACUGCGGGGCGCACUGGGACCCUCCGCAGUACGGUGAAAACUAGCUCCACUCGGCCAUGCUUCUGCUGCCCUUCCCUUUUAGAUCUGGGGAACCUUCUCUCUUGUCGCUGCCUCCUCUUCCUCCGGUGGCCCCCCUCCCCUUUAUGGGGCAGAAUUUGCUGGUGCCUGGGAUCGACCCCGCAGGCGAGGCUUUCCUCUGGUUGUGAGGACCUGCUGUGAGAUGUACUUGCAGAAUGCUUUUCAACUGUUGUGGGCUGUGCGUUUGCAAAUAGAUGGAGUAAUCUAAAAUGUUUGGGUUCUACUUUGAUCUCAUUAAGAAUGAUGACUACAGAAAGA
This 384-nucleotide long non-coding RNA is filed under the name Ictidomys tridecemlineatus (thirteen-lined ground squirrel). RNAcentral's name for it is "lncRNA (ENSSTOG00000030702.1)". Lineage: Eukaryota; Metazoa; Chordata; Mammalia; Rodentia; Sciuridae. The record is from RNAcentral.